This 451-nucleotide ribosomal RNA is filed under the name uncultured bacterium. Its description in RNAcentral is "partial 16S ribosomal RNA". It matches the Rfam family "Bacterial small subunit ribosomal RNA", at positions 354 to 796 of the family's 1533-position model. The record is from RNAcentral.
GUGGGGAAUAUUGGACAAUGGGGGGAACCCUGAUCCAGCCAUGCCGCGUGUGUGAAGAAGGCCUUUUGGUUGUAAAGCACUUUAAGCGAGGAGGAGGCUUACCUGGUUAAUACCUAGGAUAAGUGGACGUUACUCGCAGAAUAAGCACCGGCUAACUCUGUGCCAGCAGCCGCGGUAAUACAGAGGGUGCGAGCGUUAAUCGGAUUUACUGGGCGUAAAGCGCGCGUAGGUGGUUAAUUAAGUCAAAUGUGAAAUCCCCGAGCUUAACUUGGGAAUUGCAUUCGAUACUGGUUAGCUAGAGUAUGGGAGAGGAUGGUAGAAUUCCAGGUGUAGCGGUGAAAUGCGUAGAGAUCUGGAGGAAUACCGAUGGCGAAGGCAGCCAUCUGGCCUAAUACUGACACUGAGGUGCGAAAGCAUGGGGAGCAAACAGGAUUAGAAACCCUAGUAGUCC